Molecule: ribosomal RNA, 1470 nt
Filed under: uncultured bacterium
Lineage: Bacteria
Description: bacterial SSU rRNA
Rfam family: Bacterial small subunit ribosomal RNA
Source: RNAcentral
AGAGUUUGAUCAUGGCUCAGGACGAACGCUGGCGGCGUGCCUAAUACAUGCAAGUAGAACGCUGAAGUCUGGUGCUUGCACUAGACGGAUGAGUUGCGAACGGGUGAGUAACGCGUAGGUAACCUGCCUCAUAGCGGGGGAUAACUAUUGGAAACGAUAGCUAAUACCGCAUAACAGUAUUUACUGCAUGGUAGAUACUUGAAAGGAGCAAUUGCUUCACUAUGAGAUGGACCUGCGUUGUAUUAGCUAGUUGGUGAGGUAACGGCUCACCAAGGCAUCGAUACAUAGCCGACCUGAGAGGGUGAUCGGCCACACUGGGACUGAGACACGGCCCAGACUCCUACGGGAGGCAGCAGUAGGGAAUCUUCGGCAAUGGGGGCAACCCUGACCGAGCAACGCCGCGUGAGUGAAGAAGGUUUUCGGAUCGUAAAGCUCUGUUGUAAGAGAAGAACUGUGAGAAGAGUGGAAAGUUUCUCACUUGACGGUAUCUUACCAGAAAGGGACGGCUAACUACGUGCCAGCAGCCGCGGUAAUACGUAGGUCCCAAGCGUUGUCCGGAUUUAUUGGGCGUAAAGCGAGCGCAGGCGGUUUGAUAAGUCUGAAGUAAAAGGCUGUGGCUUAACCAUAGUACGCUUUGGAAACUGUCAAACUUGAGUGCAGAAGGGGAGAGUGGAAUUCCAUGUGUAGCGGUGAAAUGCGUAGAUAUAUGGAGGAACACCGGUGGCGAAAGCGGCUCUCUGGUCUGUAACUGACGCUGAGGCUCGAAAGCGUGGGGAGCGAACAGGAUUAGAUACCCUGGUAGUCCACGCCGUAAACGAUGAGUGCUAGGUGUUGGGUCCUUUCCGGGACUCAGUGCCGCAGCUAACGCAUUAAGCACUCCGCCUGGGGAGUACGACCGCAAGGUUGAAACUCAAAGGAAUUGACGGGGGCCCGCACAAGCGGUGGAGCAUGUGGUUUAAUUCGAAGCAACGCGAAGAACCUUACCAGGUCUUGACAUCCCGAUGACCGCCCUAGAGAUAGGGUUUCUCUUCGGAGCAUCGGUGACAGGUGGUGCAUGGUUGUCGUCAGCUCGUGUCGUGAGAUGUUGGGUUAAGUCCCGCAACGAGCGCAACCCCUAUUGUUAGUUGCCAUCAUUCAGUUGGGCACUCUAGCGAGACUGCCGGUAAUAAACCGGAGGAAGGUGGGGAUGACGUCAAAUCAUCAUGCCCCUUAUGACCUGGGCUACACACGUGCUACAAUGGCUGGUACAACGAGUCGCAAGUCGGUGACGGCAAGCUAAUCUCUUAAAGCCAGUCUCAGUUCGGAUUGUAGGCUGCAACUCGCCUACAUGAAGUCGGAAUCGCUAGUAAUCGCGGAUCAGCACGCCGCGGUGAAUACGUUCCCGGGCCUUGUACACACCGCCCGUCACACCACGAGAGUUUGUAACACCCGAAGUCGGUGAGGUAACCGUAAGGAGCCAGCCGCGUAAGG